UGGUGGCGAGUGGCGAACGGGUGAGUAACAUAUCGGAACGUUCCAAUAAUGGGGGGUAACGAGUCGAAAGAUUCGCUAAUACCGCAUACGCCCUACGGGGGAAAGCUAGGGACCUUCGGGCCUGGCGUUAAUGGAGCGGCCGAUAUCUGAUUAGCUAGUUGGUGAGGUAAAGGCUCACCAAGGCGACGAUCAGUAGCUGGUCUGAGAGGACGACCAGCCACACUGGAACUGAGACACGGCCCAGACUCCUACGGGAGGCAGCAGUGGGGAAUUUUGGACAAUGGGGGCAACCCUGGUCCAGCCAUGCCGCGUGAGUGAAGAAGGCCUUUGGGUUGUAAAGCUCUUUCGCAAGGGAAGAAACGAUUUAGACGAAUAAUCUAAGUUAAUGACGGUACCUUGAUAAGAAGCACCGGCUAACUACGUGCCAGCAGCCGCGGUAAUACGUAGGGUGCGAGCGUUAAUCGGAAUUACUGGGCGUAAAGCGAGCGCAGGCGGUUCUGCAAGUCAGAUGUGAAAUCCCCGGGCUCAACCUGGGAACUGCGUUUGAAACUACAGAGCUAGAGUAUAGGAGAGGGGGGUAGAAUUCCACGUGUAGCAGUGAAAUGCGUAGAGAUGUGGAGGAAUACCAAUGGCGAAGGCAGCCCCCUGGCCUAAUACUGACGCUCAUGCUCGAAAGCGUGGGGAGCAAACAGGAUUAGAUACCCUGGUAGUCCACGCCCUAAACGAUGUCUACUAGUUGUUGGUGGAGUAAAAUCCAUUAGUAACGCAGCUAACGCGUGAAGUAGACCGCCUGGGGAGUACGGA
This 804-nucleotide ribosomal RNA is filed under the name uncultured bacterium. RNAcentral describes it as "bacterial SSU rRNA". It matches the Rfam family "Bacterial small subunit ribosomal RNA", at positions 86 to 886 of the family's 1533-position model. The record is from RNAcentral.